This is a long non-coding RNA of Armigeres subalbatus, 1306 nucleotides long. RefSeq lists it as uncharacterized. The record is from RefSeq and is a predicted model, not a curated record. Lineage: Eukaryota; Metazoa; Arthropoda; Insecta; Diptera; Culicidae. The transcript has 4 exons.
AAAAAUUAGUGUUCGCGUGUUUGUUUUCAUCGUUUUCAUAAAACUAAAGAAAACAUAAAACAUGUCCAGAUUGAAUUUAUUUCGGUCGUCUGGCUGAACAUUAUGACGGUACUGAACAUGAGGUCACAAGAGGCUCGGACCAAUCUGAACCUCCCGGGAACCAAUGGAGUAUCUGCACCCGUUGCAUAAACAGCCGCGGAAACGGACACCUUCGACAACAUCGCAAAUAAAUCCUGCCGGAUCUCCAGCUGCGACCGCUCCGACAAUAAGACACCUGUCUAGAUGUUGCAUUCCAAACCUUUUGCGGUCUACUCUAUAGGAAUACGGGAAGAAGGUGGGCUAUUUUUUUGUUGCUUCAAGCCAGCGCGCAGUCGGGACCGCAGAUACAACUGCGUCGGUGAUGUAACCGCAGCCGGUGUGCUCCUCAGUGAAGUAAACAACUCACAAUGCCACCAUCAAACAGAACUUUAGCCCCCGGACCUUCAACACAGUGAAGUGCGAAUGUUAGCCUAUAAUCUUUGAAUCAGUAUCCUUGCACCGAUACCCUCCUAUCAGUAUUCAACCCCCGGACCCACCAAGUACCGUUGAGGAACUACCGACACCCGUGAUUAAACACACCCAUGUACAAGCAGCAAACCUGAGUAUCCGGAAGCACUCCUACCACGGUGUAAUUUCCGGCUCCUGCAGUUAUAUGAGCGAACUUAUGUUGGUGCAGACUAUAGAUAGUAGAAUCUAUAGAUGAGCGAAAGCAUGGCUGAGUCGAUUUUUUUGCCCGUGCACACGCGCAUUUGACGUCACAGCCCUUAACGUUUCCAUUGAAAUCGUGACCAGGCCUGGGAAUUGUCGCGUUUGUCAGUGACACCUGACAAGAUACAUAAAAACAUGGUCAGUCAAAAAAAACUUGUCAACUUCCAGUUUUCCGUCGCACGACUGGAUCCCCACGACCAGAUGACAACUUUUUCCAACCGCGACAAUUUGCUUUUGUUGUAUGUCUUGUUAGAGCACACAUCUGCGACAAAAGUUUAACAACGCAUGCACUUUCGGCUCUGUGCACGACACAACAUUAAUCCCGAAAGUAAGUUAUGUCGCAUCUUCUGGUUGUCCAUCUGCGUGGAGGAGCAAUAGCAGCGGACAAAUUUGAAAUAUCAUACUGAAAAGAGCACUUUAUAAUUAAUUAUUUCUUUGUUCUCUUGACAGAUUUUCUGUUUAGAAAUAAGACAUUUUAUUCAAUUGUUGCGUUGUUACGUACAUAAUAAUACAUAAAAAAAACAAGUGUCUCUUGCACAGAGAAAGAUCCCCCAGUGUA